GUUAAGCGACUAAGCGUACACGGUGGAUGCCCUGGCAGUCAGAGGCGAUGAAGGACGUGCUAAUCUGCGAUAAGCGUCGGUAAGGUGAUAUGAACCGUUAUAACCGGCGAUUUCCGAAUGGGGAAACCCAGUGUGUUUCGACACACUAUCAUUAACUGAAUCCAUAGGUUAAUGAGGCGAACCGGGGGAACUGAAACAUCUAAGUACCCCGAGGAAAAGAAAUCAACCGAGAUUCCCCCAGUAGCGGCGAGCGAACGGGGAGCAGCCCAGAGCCUGAAUCAGUGUGUGUGUUAGUGGAAGCGUCUGGAAAGGCGCGCGAUACAGGGUGACAGCCCCGUACACAAAAAUGCACAUGCUGUGAGCUCGAUGAGUAGGGCGGGACACGUGGUAUCCUGUCUGAAUAUGGGGGGACCAUCCUCCAAGGCUAAAUACUCCUGACUGACCGAUAGUGAACCAGUACCGUGAGGGAAAGGCGAAAAGAACCCCGGCGAGGGGAGUGAAAAAGAACCUGAAACCGUGUACGUACAAGCAGUGGGAGCACGCUUAGGCGUGUGACUGCGUACCUUUUGUAUAAUGGGUCAGCGACUUAUAUUCUGUAGCAAGGUUAACCGAAUAGGGGAGCCGAAGGGAAACCGAGUCUUAACUGGGCGUUAAGUUGCAGGGUAUAGACCCGAAACCCGGUGAUCUAGCCAUGGGCAGGUUGAAGGUUGGGUAACACUAACUGGAGGACCGAACCGACUAAUGUUGAAAAAUUAGCGGAUGACUUGUGGCUGGGGGUGAAAGGCCAAUCAAACCGGGAGAUAGCUGGUUCUCCCCGAAAGCUAUUUAGGUAGCGCCUCGUGAAUUCAUCUCCGGGGGUAGAGCACUGUUUCGGCAAGGGGGUCAUCCCGACUUACCAACCCGAUGCAAACUGCGAAUACCGGAGAAUGUUAUCACGGGAGACACACGGCGGGUGCUAACGUCCGUCGUGAAGAGGGAAACAACCCAGACCGCCAGCUAAGGUCCCAAAGUCAUGGUUAAGUGGGAAACGAUGUGGGAAGGCCCAGACAGCCAGGAUGUUGGCUUAGAAGCAGCCAUCAUUUAAAGAAAGCGUAAUAGCUCACUGGUCGAGUCGGCCUGCGCGGAAGAUGUAACGGGGCUAAACCAUGCACCGAAGCUGCGGCAGCGACGCUUAUGCGUUGUUGGGUAGGGGAGCGUUCUGUAAGCCUGCGAAGGUGUGCUGUGAGGCAUGCUGGAGGUAUCAGAAGUGCGAAUGCUGACAUAAGUAACGAUAAAGCGGGUGAAAAGCCCGCUCGCCGGAAGACCAAGGGUUCCUGUCCAACGUUAA
This 1327-nucleotide ribosomal RNA is filed under the name Escherichia coli. Its description in RNAcentral is "partial 23S ribosomal RNA". It matches the Rfam family "Bacterial large subunit ribosomal RNA", at positions 1 to 1368 of the family's 2925-position model. Lineage: Bacteria; Pseudomonadati; Pseudomonadota; Gammaproteobacteria; Enterobacterales; Enterobacteriaceae. The record is from RNAcentral.